UACCUGGUUGAUUCUGCCAGUAGUCAUAUGCUUGUCUCAAAGAUUAAGCCAUGCAUGUCUAAGUAUAAGCAAUCUAUACAGUGAAACUGCGAAUGGCUCAUUAAAUCGGUCAAAAUUUAUUUGAUAGUACCUUUUUACCUGGAUAACUGUGGUAAUUCUAGAGCUAAUACAUGCUAAAAAUCUCGACUUCGGAAGAGAUGUAUUUAUUAGAUUAAAAACCAAUGCCCUUCGGGGCUUUAAGGUGAAUCAUAAUAACUCAACGAAUCGCAUGGCCUUGUGCCGGCGAUGGUUCAUUCAAUUUUCCGCCCUAUCAACUUUCGAUGGUAUUAUAGAGGAUUACCAUGGUUUCAACGGGUAACGGGGGAUUAGGGUUCGACUCCGGAGAGGGAGCCUGAGAAACCACAUCCAAGGAAGGCAGCAGGCGCGCAAAUUACCCAAUAGCAAUUCGCUGAGGUAGUGACAAUACAUACUGAUCGGGGGCUCUUUUGGGCCUCCGAAUCGGAAUGAGUACAAUUUAAACCCCUUAACGAGGAACAAUUGGAGGGCAAGUCUGGUGGCCAGCAGCCGCGGUAAUUCCAGCUCCAAUAGCGUAUAUUAAAGUUGUUGCAGUUAAAAAGCUCGUAGUUGAACCUUGGGCUUGGAUGACCGGUCCGCCUCACCGCGUGUACUGGUUCGUCCGAGCCUUUCCUUCUAGGGAACCUCAUGCCCUUCACUGGGUGUGUCUGGGGAACUAGGACUUUUACUUUGAGAAAAUUAGAGUGUUCAAAGCAGGCCUAUGCUCGAAUACUUCAGCAUGGAAUAAUAGAAUAGGACGUGCGUCCUCAUUUUGUUGGUUUCUGAGGAUGCCGUAAUGAUUAAUAGGGAUAGUCGGGGGUGUCAGUAUUCAAUUGUCAGAGGUGAAAUUCUUGGAUUUAUUGAAGACUAACUACUGCGAAAGCAUUCACCAAGGAUGUUUUCAUUAAUCAGUGAACGAAAGUUAGGGGAUCGAAGACGAUCAGAUACCGUCGUAGUCUUAACCAUAAACUAUGCCGACUGGAGAUUGGAUGGUGUUAUUCUAUUGACCCAUUCAGCAUCUUGUGAGAAAUCAAAGUGUGGUUCUGGGGGGAGUAUGGUCGCAAGGCUGAAACUUAAAGAAAUUGACGGAAAGGCACCACCAGGGAGCCUGCGGCUUAAUUUGACUCAACACGGGGAAACUCACCAGGUCCAGACAUGCGAAGGAUUGACAGAUUGAGAGCUCUUUCUUGAUUGUAUGGUUGGUAAUGCAUGGCCGUUCUUAGUUGGUGGAUUGAUUUGUCUGCUUAAUUGCGAUAACGAACGAGACCUUAACCUGCUAAAUAGCCAGGCAAGCUUUGGCUUGUCGCCGGCUUCUUAGAGGGACUAUCGGCUCAAGCCGAUGGAAGUUUGAGGCAAUAACAGGUCUGUGAUGCCCUUAGAUGUUCUGGGCCGCACGCGCGCUACACUGACAGAGCCAACGAGUUUAUAACCUUGGCAGAAAUGCCUGGGCAAUCUUGUUAAACUCUGUCGUGCUGGGGAUAGAGCAUUGCAAUUAUUGCUCUUCAACGAGGAAUGCCUUGUAAGCGCAAGUCAUCAGCUUGCGUUGACUACGUCCCUGCCCUUUGUACACACCGCCCGUCGCUACUACCGAUUGAAUGGCUCAGUGAGGCCUUCGGACUGGCUCAGAAAGGUUGGCAACAACCAUUCAGAGCCGGAAAGUUCGUCAAACUUGGUCAUUUAGAGGAAGUAAAAGUCGUAACAAGGUUUCCGUAGGUGAACCUGCGGAAGGAUCAUUA
RNAcentral lists this ribosomal RNA (1790 nucleotides) under Gomphillus americanus. Its description in RNAcentral is "SSU rRNA". It matches the Rfam family "Eukaryotic small subunit ribosomal RNA". The record is from RNAcentral. Lineage: Eukaryota; Fungi; Ascomycota; Lecanoromycetes; Ostropales; Graphidaceae.